UCAGGAUGAACGCUAGCGGCAGGCUUAACACGAUGCAAGUCGAGGGGCGAGCGGGUGCAGCAAUGCACUGCCGGCGACCGGCGCACGGGUGCGUAACGCGUAUGCAACCUGCCCGCAACAGGGGUAUAACGGAGUGAAAAUUCCACUAAUCCCCCGUAUUGACACCGCGCCGCAUGACGUGGUGUCGAAAGGAGUAAUCCGGUUGCGGAUGGGCAUGCGUGACAUUAGGUAGUUGGUGAGGCAACGGCUCACCAAGCCGACGAUGUCUAGGGAGCUGAGAGGCUUAUCCCCCACACUGGUACUGAGACACGGACCAGACUCCUACGGGAGGCAGCAGUGAGGAAUAUUGGUCAAUGGGAGGAAUCCUGAACCAGCCAUGCCGCGUGCGGGAAGAAGGCCCUACGGGUUGUAAACCGCUUUUGCUCGGGAGUAAUAAGGGGGUGCGCCCCGAUGAGAGUACCGGGCGAAUAAGCAUCGGCUAACUCCGUGCC
RNAcentral lists this ribosomal RNA (491 nucleotides) under uncultured bacterium. RNAcentral describes it as "bacterial SSU rRNA". It matches the Rfam family "Bacterial small subunit ribosomal RNA", at positions 24 to 509 of the family's 1533-position model. The record is from RNAcentral.